This 425-nucleotide unclassified non-coding RNA is filed under the name soil metagenome. Its description in RNAcentral is "partial contains 5.8S ribosomal RNA, internal transcribed spacer 2, and large subunit ribosomal RNA". The stretch from base 1 to 120 matches the Rfam family "5.8S ribosomal RNA", at positions 35 to 154 of the family's 154-position model. The record is from RNAcentral.
GAUGAAGAACGCAGCGAAAUGCGAUAAGUAGUGUGAAUUGCAGAAUUCCGUGAAUCAUCGAAUCUUUGAACGCACAUUGCGCCUUCUGGUAUUCCGGAAGGCAUGCCUGUUCGAGAGUCAUUAACAACCGUUUCGAUCCCUUUCUUUCAGAAAUUACAAAGAGGAAAAGGGUUUGGUUAUGGUGGAGGAGGGAAAGGGAGCGUUUAGCCUGUAAAAAAAGAGGCUGUGUUCCGCCUCCCCCCCAAAAUUGUACAGGCGGUCGUGUGCGCCCACGCAUCGAGGUGUUGUAAAAGCUGCCACGGCACUUUUCACCUGUGCAGUGCGAGAUUGGCCAGCCGGUUUAAAAACCCCUCCAAACCAUCAAAGGUUGACCUCGGAUCAGGUAGGGAUACCCGCUGAACUUAAGCAUAUCAAUAAGCGGAGGA